GAUCCCAGCUUCAUGCCAAGCACCGUAGAGGGCAUAGGGGAGGUCUUCUUCCCCAGCUCCGGCCACCCGACCUGCCUUGGGUACGGGCUAAGUUCGCCCAAGGUGGUCGAUUCCCUCUGCUCUAGCCUCACCCGUACUCCCCUAGUAAUCCAUCCUCUCUUAUCUGCGCGUCAAUUUGACCUCUGCAGGUCAUUGUGGUGAGAUCCAUCCUCCCUCGAAGCCGAUGAUCGCCGAGAGGAAGCCGCCGAUGCUGUGGUGCUCGUCGGUGAGCCAAUCCACCACUCAUCGACGCGGAAUAGUCCCCUCAACAAUCCUGUGCACCAUCACGAGCUCUGUGUUGCCGGUGAUAAUUUCAAACCUGUCAUGGGUGGCCCACCCGUUAGGUUCUUUUCUUUUCCGGACUUUUUUUUGAAGGCACCUUUCACCGGAGUGCGUUUUCUUCUCGGGCUGGCGUAGUUUCCUUAGAACAUUUUUUGUUUUCUCAAUCUAGCCCAUGGGUAACUUUCUGUUUACAAUAGAUAAGUCUCUAGUUGCAUUUCCUUUAUAAUUUUUAAACUAAAAAUAGUUUUUUGGUUGAUUUUUUUUGAAAGCUUUAUUUUUUUGUCUAGUUUUUUUGUGAUAUUUAUUUAAAAUAUUUUGGUACAACUUUUAUACAUGCACAGUAUUUACGUAGAUAUCGAUAUUUUUUGACGUAGAUACCAAGGGAGAAGACGCCGUCGUCCACUUCACCGAGUCCACUUCAACUUCGUUGAUCCAGGCAAGCAUGUUUGAACCUUUGAUAUGGUGUUUGUUUUCAUGUUUGCUCGAUAAAAAAUACUGCAUGUAGACAUGGUAGCAUGACGUGUUGAUAUGAUUUCAUGCAUAGAUUAUCUUAAAAUUGUGUAGUGACGGAAAUAUUUUGACGACCUAGUCACACGGGACGUGAUAGGUUGUGGUCUGCUCAUGUUGGAGCAUGCUAGUACCUUAUCAAAUCUAACAACUCCACUAUCGGCAUAAAUCGUGUCUUGUCAGUCUGUCACCUUACUUUUCCGUGCUGCCACAUGCUAUAUCGGAAGGGAUACCGUUUAGUAGGUUGCAAACCUAUUUCCAUGUAAACACCAAGUAGAGGGGCCGAAUGAAGGUUCCAUUGCCCUGGAAUAAUGCGAGUCAUCCAGUCAUGGGGCAUGGGUGUUUUCGACUGAGCCCUAGAGGGGGGAUCCCUUAGUUACGCACGAUAUAAGUUGAUCCCAUGCUAUUCGAGGUGUCGACCUCUCCAUCUUAUAGUUUUUCUUGAGCGUGGUUUCGGGUGAUUCCGGGCCUCGCAGGGUGAAAUGGGUGUGUACUAGUUACAUGUGUUUACUUUCAAAAUACUGUAGGUGGGACUAGUCUAUGUGACUAUCGAAACCCGUUGGCUGUGACUAAAGAGUACACCCUCUAUAUAGUCAAAAUUAUUUGAGUAGCCGUCUCCGCGGUCAAGGACCACUGGUUGACAGGUCAACUGUCGGUCUUCGUGUUGGUCUCUAGAAAGCAAAUAAUGUUUUAUGAGAACAUUUACCUAUGACAUUAUGAAUGUGAUGCUUGUGGCUAAUCUGUUAUAAUGAAUGAUGCAUUGAGUACUCCGUGCACUAUUAGGAAAAGGAUUGCUAAUGGCGCACCUAUUUUGGCUACUAAUGGCGCACUAUAGGUGCGCCACUAGCAUCAUGCCAUUAGAUUUUUUUACUAAUGGCGCACCACAAGUGCGCCAUUAGUAUCUGGUAUACUAAUGGUGCACCAGGCAGUGCGCCAUUAGUAUUGCUCACGGUGCGCCAUUAGUAUCUGGUAUACUAAUGGCACACCAAGUAGUGCGCCAUUAGUAUAGAUCCCGGUGCGCCAUUAGUAUAGAUCCUGGUGCGCCAUUAGUAUAGAUCCUGGUGCGCCAUUAGUAUAGCUUAUGGUGCGCCAUUAGUAUGCCUCCCAGGGCCAUAUUUACCCAUAUGCUCUGGCUUACUAAUGGCGCACUAGUUGACGAUGCGCCACUAGUGUGCUUUUGAAGUGCGCCACUAGUGUGCUGAGUGAUGCGCCACUAGUAUGAAUAUUAGGUUUUUUUUUUGAUAUUUGCACAGAUUACAAAAUAUAUUAUUGCACAGAAUAUAGAUAGCACAACAUAUAAACAACAAAUUUAUCGAAUACAAUAGAAGAUUAGUCUCCCAAUACAAUUCAUCAUAUUAGUCUCCGAAUUUAAAAUACCGAACAAAGUUAGAACAUUACAAGUCUCGAGACCGCGAGUAGCGAGUUUGUCUUCACAUUACAAGUCGAUAUCGACCAUCUAAACUACCAUCACAUAGAAGAGAGCUGCGGUCAUCACGAUGAGCAUAAUUGCAAUGAAACUGGCCUUCAUCCGGUUCCUCCAACGCUCCCUCCUCUCUCCCGCUAGAUAGCGCGCGUAUCUAACUUCCACCUCCGCCCUUGUGGUGUACCCUUUGUAACUGUUACCGCUGAAUCGAUGAACCUGUCUCCGACACUCCUCCUAGUCGUCGUAGACUCCGGGAACCUUACCCUUGUACACGACAUACGACGGCAUCUCUAUGCACUAGCCAAACAAAACGUUAGUAGCAAUUCACACAGACAUACAAGUUCAUUAAAGUUUAAUAUUACAACUAUAACAACACGAUUCAUGGUCCUACUAAUAAAUAGCAUCGAUUAUAUAUAAGUUGAACGACUGUCCAAACCAAAGAGACAUACAAGUUCAUUAAAGUUUAAUAUUGCAACAUGAAUUAGUAGCGAUUCACGGGAACGUGGAUGAAGCCGCCGUCUUUCGUGAUGGUCAUGAAAUUGCGGUCGUUGUCAGCCUGCAUUUGUAGCAUUGUAUCUAUCUCACUAUUGGACAGCGGAGAUCUGAGGUAGAACUGCCCCGAGGUACGAAGGACAUCUUGAUGGAUGAUUUCCGCAAACUCCGACUGGAUGCGAAAGAAUUCUUGUCUGAUGUCCGCAUCCUGGAUUGCCGACUAGCGUGCGGCCCAAUCUUUGAGAUUAUUUGGUAGCCGAAGGUGAUUACUGCCCCGUAUGAUCGCCCGCAUGUGAUGGAGGGCGUAGUAGGCAUCCUUCUGACUGCCAGGCGGCUGCUUGACGCAGGCGAACGUCGUAUUGUGGGUGAACACGUGCUUGCCGUGCCUGAGACUUGUCCUGCUGAAGGUGCCUCCAGAUAUGGCGUAGCCGGGAAGAGCUCCAUCAAGAACUUUCUUGAUAUUUGUGUAGUCUUUUUUUGACUGACAGUCCGAGUUGAAAUACGUGGCCGUGGAAUAUUUCAGGCUUAAGAGGAUGAGUGUGCAACGUGUGUCACUGCACAAAACACGGAAUGUUAGAAAAACAAGGACGAUCAAAAUCUAAGAAAUCAUAUGUUACGGGGCGAUGAGGGGAUAACUUACGAGGGAAAGUAAGGCACAAGGAAGUUAUCCUUUUCUGAGUUUGCCAGAAUGACGCCUUCGAGGUAUGAACUCGCGACUUGCCGGUCCCCAGCGCUGCCCAAGAUCUUGGCACGCAUAUAGAAGGGGUCGACUAUCACUAGGUCCGGGGUCUUAUCUCUAAUGAUCCGCAUCUCCAUACUCAGCGAAAAUAGCCGAACGAAGGUGUAGUGCAGCGGAUGAAGGUUAAACAUAGCGAAGAUGUCAGCAAACCGCAGGACGAUCAUACCCCCGAUGGCGCUAUCGACAAAGCCCUUGCCCUCUGGCACCUUGGCCACGAAAACCGGGUAUGCCACAUUAUUCUCGGAGAGACGUCGCUUCUCCAAACAAAGAAUACUGUCAUGCAGACUCCGCAUAGCACCGGUUGCAACAUUGAGCAGAUUAGUCGGUAGCAUCGGCCUACCCGCCACAUGCACCCUCCUCGAGAUAUCCUUAGGUGAAGGUGGCCCGUCCAGAGCACGGAUCGUACUCAGUGCCGGCUGGCUCGCACUCUUGUUAGUCUUUCUUUUCCGUCACUUCUUCUGCUGAUGUAAUGGGAUCGAGUUCAUCUGCUCAGAGACCACCUUCUUGAGUGUGUUGGGGCUGAUAAUAUUUCGCACCUCGGCUAUCUGAGGCUCGGUGAAGGCGGCAGCUGGAGGCGUCUCCUCAAAACUAAACUCCAGACAACGCCUGUUGCAAUUGGGUUUCUCCGCGGUACCAGCUAGAUCGUGGUCGUCUUUUGCAGGGUUGGGUUCUUGAGAAGGAGGCCCCAAGAAUUCCUCACCGUACCCAUGUUCGGCAAAGUACUUAUCGACCUUGGUAAAUGUACCAUCGUCGUCAUCGUCGUCUUCCGAAUCCUGUGUCAUAUGCAUGUCCGGAUCCUGUGCCAUAUGCAUGUCCGGUAGCAUUGCGGCGGUCUUGCCAUGGCUUGGCGCCGGCACGACUGGCGAUGUUGUCUGUGGGGUGGUGUCCCCCGCCCCCAAACGAAUCUGGAUCUUCGGCCAAAGCAAGGGCCAGCUUAAGCAGGUGCUGAGGGUCAUCACAUCAUCUUUGUCGGCCCCAGCGGGGUGGAACGGAGGUAACAAGUCGUCGCAGCCUGGUAGCACCCGAACCAGUUGAACCCUAUACGUGGUGGGUGGCAUCGGUUUACCGUGGAACAUGGGGUUGCCUGAUUGAACGAUUCUGCCCUUGGCAACAUCGAUCAACUCGCCGCCCAUGAAGUGCAGGAGAGUGCAUGGAACGUCGGCGCCGGCGCCCUGCGAAAACAUGUAGGGCGUCAGGGGAUGCCUAGUCAAAGGCAAGGAGAUGAAGUCAUCGACCGAGAGAGGCUUAGUUACCGUGAUGGCGUCGAGCUCGGCUAAUGUCGAGGCACCGCCAACGGCGGGCGUGCAAAUGACGGAGGGGCCGCUUGCUGCCGAGGUGCCGGUCGGCGCCGAAGACACCAACGGCGCCGGCGCCGGAGACACCAAUGGCGUCGUCUGUGCGUUGUGCGAGUUGCUGGCCGUGAAGCUGGGAAUCGGGGGCGGCCCCUGUUGGCCGCCCGCAAUCCACGCCUGCAACCCCUCAAUCAAGGUAGGCACAAUGGCGGUGAUCACCCCUCCCACUUGGUGUUGCACUAGCUCUUGGACCAUCUCCGGAAUCCGCGCCACUUUUUCCUUGAGUUCUUCAACCUCGGGCAAUUCGCUUUCCAAGUUGGUAUUUCUCUCCUUUCACCCACCAGCGUUACAGUAUGACGACCAUUUCGUGGACAAGCCUUUGCCGGCCACACGACCAGAUGACGACGGCUUACUGGACUUAUCCUUGUUUUUCAUUAUGUUAAACGCCCUAUUUAAAUUGGUGUCCCAAUGGGAGCUCUGAGACGACCCCGCGCUACUGCUUUCAGUGUCCUGCGGAAGGAAUGAACCAUUUAGAAAUUUGGCUUCAUUAAUUAGAAUGCAACCAUAUGGAGCUAAUUACGUGGGGUGUAUUCCUUACCAGAACACGCUCAAGCGCCCUGGUCUUCGCAUCCGUGGUGAGAUCCUUUGUUACUGGGUCCACCUUGUACCGGGCCCUGACAUAGUUCCUGUUCUGCUUGUCACCGUAUUUCUCGAAGCGGGGUGGUAGGCCUUGCUCGGCACGCUCCGCGUCCUCCUUGUCCCAUAUAGGUUCCGCCACUCUGUAACCGCCGGGACCGAGUUGGUGGACCCCUAAGUUCAACUCCUGCAUUUCUUUCCCCCAUUGACUUGAUUCCGCGGUUGCCUUGCUCUCGCACUUGAUCUUGAACUCCUUGUAGUCAUCUUCGCUGAUCGAAGGAUUUUUCGCCUUGAUCUUCUCAUAACUAUCACCUUUGUCAAUCAUUCUCUUCACUACGCUUCUCCAAGUAGACAGGGCCUUGCUCAUCUUCGUGAGGGCGGCACUGUUCACUUUAUUCCUUGAGAGGCGUGUGUUUGCGACGUCACCGGGGAACUUGUAUCGUUCGUGCAGCUUCGUGAAGAGGAGGUUGCGCAAAUUCCCUCGGUCCUUAUGCCUUAGGUUCUCGGUGUUGAUCGAGACAGUGCUCCGGAGAACACACCCGAGCUGAACCGCGUACCCCUUGACUAUUUCUUUGGGCGCCGUUGGAUACCCGUCGGAGUUCACUUCAGUAAAUACCUCCUUUACGGUGCUAAGCACGUUCGGGCGCCGGUCCUUCCGUUGCCUCUUCGAUUGGCUGCCAUCUAUGCGUGCGCUGCCAUCAUCAGUGGUGGCAUCCUCGGCGGCACCAUCAGUGGUGUCAUCCCCGACGCCACUAGGGGUUGUGUACUCGGGAUCGGUGUCUUUCGCGGCAUCCUCAUAGCGGUGAGGUUCUUCCUCCAUCUCCUGGGACAGCUCCCAGAAAGGCUUGGCUGAACCGCCGGCCUCAUCGUUGUGGGCCAUGUUUCGCUCUAAAUAGGAAAAACGUUUGGUCAAAUAGUUGGUUAUUGUCAAGGAACAAGAUCAUGGUCUCAUCAUUUAGGGUUUGUCGACAUCGAGGCAUCCUAAAAGCUAAGCUUUUAUCAUUUAGGGUUUGUCGACGCCGAGGCACCCUAAAAGCCUAAGCUUUCAUCAUUUAGGUUUUUAUCGACACCGAGGCACCCUAAAAGCCAAGGUUUUAUAAUUUAGGGUUUGUCGACACUGAGGCACCCUAAAUGCUAAGUUAAGUUUUCAUCAUUUAGGGUUUAUCAAUGCCGAGGCACCCUAGGUUGACUGAUAUAUAUGGGUAUCUUCUAAUAAUAUACCCUAUCAAGAAAAGGGAAGGAGAAUUCUAAGUUGGGCCUAAUCACUUGGCUCUAUUGCCACCUAUGGUUUAAUGCAGCAAGCAUAAAGGGGUAGUUGAUCCUACUUAAUUAAGUACUAAGAUACCCCGGCCCAUGCAUUAGUCGCAAGUACCCCAUAUGUCCUAUUUUUAGCAAAGUCAUGCUAAAAUUCACGGAAAAUUUCAGCAUGAUCUUUGCUGAAAAUAGGACAUAUGGAGUACCCGAAUUUGCCGGAACGGAAGUUAAUCGACAUUCCGGCAAACUCAAGGGCCUCUCGGGGUACGUGCAAAAUCAUCACGACACGAUGGUCGGGAACAAAACCCAGCAAACUAGCACCACAAUGCUAACAUCUGGAUGCACUACAACUUAGCAAAAGAGUAAAAUAGAGAUUGACACAACCAUAAGGCAGAUCAUGGAUCAAGAACAAUCAAAGGAUUCAGCAUGAGACCAUGGACUGAUCACUGAUGCAGCAAAAAACAAGAACCUACAACAGCAGGCCCAACACUAAGGGGACCAUAUCUGUUCAACAAUUCUUGAUGAACCAUCGGGGGACAGAAAUGGAAUUCGAAUGAAAUUCAUAGGAAACAUAUUGACCGAGAGUACCCAGUCGUCCUAAAAAAAGAGAUCAAUCGCUUUAAAAAAAAUUCUACCGGCAUACAAGUAUACAUCGCUUUGUAGACAAAAACUAAAAUUCAGAUGGACAGAAAAGAUUGUAGACAAAAACAUUCGACGACACAUUCAUGUUGAUUUUUUUCUUAAGGUAAUUUUGAGAAAGUUAUGGCGCAAAACAAAUAGAUAUCCUUACAGCUCCAUCCGCACAUGCCACUGCCUUGAGAAGAGCAGCAAACAUAUAAAUAUGAAACAACGAAUUCAGGGAAGCAGCUGUGAUUGGUCGACCAAGUGUGACGUUAUGCAAACUGGAUGAUUGGUGCCCAGGUGGAAACGUAGUUCUUUUCUUGAUCGCGUUUCGUUUCUUCUCCAAGCGUCUACGACGUGUGGCCUAUGUGUAUUCUACCACCUUUUCUUAGUAGAGCCCUAGCAAGAUUAUUAUGUGUUUCUAGUACCAUCGGUAUGACGUGCAAUGGGACAAGGACGACAGCAUGUGCAGAGUCCAGAACUAGCAAACGAAACUCAUCAUAUUAAUUUGUUUAAGUGAAGUAGGGAAUAUCCAGUACAUUCAGCCAUGUUGAGUUCAAAGCAAACCAGUUCACAAAAGUUAGACUAAGAAUUACUCCCUCCGUUCCAAAACGUUAGCCCUGGUUUUAAUUCAAAACAUUUGUCAUGGUUUUUAAUUCAUUUUAUGUAGUUAGCUAGGCCAUUUUAGCUGAAACUAUGCCAGUAUGUACGCCUGGUUUGACGCCGAAAGUUAACAACAGAAGCAAUUUUUUAUGGCUUCACACAUACAUCGACAAUUCAAAUAUUGGCAGCCAAGCAUGCCUAUACAUAUGCCAUUUUGCACUAAAGUUAAAAAUCAGUAUUUAGUUGAAUACGUCUUCUUGGGAAAUUUGUCUUAUUUGUUCCUAUAUAUUUUCUAUUUUUUCUACGGGUCUCCUCAGCAAGAAAAUACGGUGCCAUAGAACACCCGUCUGGAGCUAAUCACUACCAUAUCAUGGAUUGCAUAUUUGUCACCGCAAUCGUGUAUUUUUCACAUCACACGUUUUUUGGAAUCAUACAUGCAUGUUCAUCCCCUACUACACGCAUGCAUCUCAUAUCGAUUCUUUUGAAGUACUCACUCUGUAAACUAAUAUAAGAUGUUUUAGAUCAGGUGGUACUAUUGAAUUAUGCUUGCAAUGUUCAUUUCUCUCUCUUAUUUUGUUGGUUAAACUUUGGGUGACUAAGGUUUGGCAUGGUUAAUCUCAAGCUAAUUAAGCAGGUUCUUACUACUACUCCAGCUAAGAGCUAAAGGAGGAUGAGCCCUUCAGACAAGGGCCUCCACUACGUUAGCAAACCCUAAUACUGUAAUACACAUCUGCUUAGAAAAACCAGGUCACAUUUAAUCUACACCUCAAUUCACAUGUAAUGUACUCUAGUAUAAAAUCGAAUAUGCUAUUAUAUUAUGUACGGAGCUAGUACCUGAUUAUGAGGUCAUGCAUGUAACAAUCUGUACACAUGAUUAUUUCCAGAAUUUUAUACACUUCCCAUGUUGUAAAACUAGCAAAUAAAUAGCCCAUAGGAGGGGAAAUUAAAACGUUUCUGUGCGUAAGCAUGAUAGAUCCUGAUCGAAUGGGAGGCGGAGGGUAGGCUCACCGGUGGUUAGGUUGCAGGCGUCGCUGGAGAAGUCAAGCGCAGUGACGCAGUCGGUGUGUCCCCUGAGGGUGUUGAGGUCGAGGUGGUGGUGCUUCUUGGCCGCCUCCUGGAAGAAAACACACAAUUCAGCUGAGACCACACUCACCGCACAUUCCAAUAUUUAUAUGGAACUAUGAAUGUCUACAUUUCAACAGAAAGUGUAGGAAUGGAUGAACUAUGAAGAUUAUGUUCUCCUAGGAUACACUCCGAAUCGAAUCUAUUGGACUGUAAUCGGAGACACCACUGACUGAUCCCUGUGUGUGAGAGCGAGAUCGGUAGUAGCUAGCAUGUGUGCGGAAUCAUGGAUCCCAUUCGAGUGUGCAGUAUGCGCGCGAGCGAGAUGGGGGUGGAGACAAGAUGAGAUGGGGGUGGACCUUGUCGGCGGCGGAGGCGUGGUGGUGCUGGGGCCGUCCCUUCUUGUUCUGCGUGGUGGGGCGGACCUGCUUGGGCAGGUCCGGGCAGCGGGGACGGCGGAGGGGGGCACGUGCGCGAUGUCGGCACGCUUGCGGCGCAGGUAGCCGACGAGGAAGACGAAGGCGAUGGCCCCGCCAAGCAGCACCGAGAGGAUCGGCUAUUUACUGGUGCUGCGCUGCAGGGGCGGAGGAAGGGGCGCCGUCGGUGGAGAGGACAAGGACGGCGUGGGUCUUGCAGGGGGACUUGAGGUGGCGGCCGAGGACGGUGAGGUCGGGGAGGUGGUGGCCCUCCGCGGCGGCAGAGCUAGGAUUCGGGGAGACGGCAGGCGCUGAUGGGCGGUGGAAAGGGGGUAGGGGGGAGGCUGCGGGAGAGGAGAGGAGGGCGCGAGGGUAGCCGACUUAGGAAUGGCGCACCCCGAGCGAUGCGCCAUUAGAAUGUUUUUUUUAUAUAGUAAUGGUGCAUGUAUAUGAGGUGCGCCUUCUCUACGUUGUUAACCUCCAAAGUAGUAGCGCAGUGGUGCGUGGGUUUUGCCUGCUAGCAGGAGGUGGCGGGUUCGUAUCCUCUUCCCCCCCUCCUUUUUUCCUUUUAUUUUUUUCUAUGCAUUGUUUUCUUGUGCUGGUUGCACCUUGGUUUGAGAAGUUGAUGCUGUGGUGUGCAUCACACCAUGAGGGUGAUUUAUCUUCCCUCACAACAACAUCUAGUGCCUAGUAUUUUUUUGAUGUUUGCAAGUAGAUGCCUACGAAUAGGAGUUGAAUCUUGUGAAUAGGUGUUCUAGUGGUAAGUAUGCCGACGGCGGCGGCGGUGGAGCGGGGGAGGGUGCGGGGGUGCUCAGCGACGAGCGGGAUCUUGCGAGGGGUGAUAGCGAUCGAGAUGGAGGGGAUCGAGAUCGAGUGUCCUCAUGAAUAUUCAAUAUUUUUUCAUAUUGAAUAUGAAAAAAUAUCAUCAAAUUUGAAAAUGUCGAAAUACAAUCGAGAAAUGAAGGCUACAAUUUAAAUACAAUCGAUCUUAGCUAGCUAUUUGUUCACAAUCUUCUUGCCCUUAUUUUUCGUAAAUGGAGUUAUUCUCUUGAACGGACGUCCUUUAGGUAGGGUGGUCCUGCUUCUUCUUGUGGUGUAUGCUGGUACUUCAUCAUCGUCGUCAUGUUCCAUCUUCGGGUUGCCGUACUUGUCGAAGUCUUGCUCAUUGGCGACUCCAUCCAUUCCGAUGAUCUUCCUUUUUCCUCUCCUCACGACAACACGACUGGGCUUUGGCGGGUCGGUAAUGAAGAAGCAUUGGUCCACUUGGGAAGCCAGUACCCAUGGCUCAUUUUUCGCGGUGACGUUUGCGCUCGCGGUCUUGGAUUUGGCUUUGGGUAUAACCAUGGUGGUGAAAUACCGGUCUUAUUUUAUGACGCUCUUGGCCCAUCUGACACGAAACAUCGGGACCUUUUCUCCAGCGUAGCUCAGCUCCCAGAUCUCCUCGAUCCUUCCGUAGUAUCUGUCCUUGUCGUUACCGGUGUAGGAUUCCAUCAUUACCCCGGAGUUCUGAUAACCGUCGCUCUUCAUGUCCUUUCCCUCGGUGUAGAAUGUGUAGCCGUUGAUAUCGUACGCCUCAUACGUCAUCAGGUUGUGCUCGGCGCCCUGUGACAAGGCGAAUAUGAGUUGUUCUUCCGCGGAAGAAUCCUUAUGUAAAGGGUACGACAGAAGCUUCUGCUUGAACCAACGCGUGAAACAUGAGUUGUGCUCUUUGAUUAUAUCUCCGUCCAUCCUCUGUUGGCCUCGGUCAUUGUACGUCUCCUCAAUAAAGGUUUUGUGCUCUACGACCCAAGGAUCGACCACGUCUAUGUGUUGUAGCGCGACUAGGUUUGCUCUUUCAAAGUCGGCGAGUCGACCCUCGAAGUCGACAUGCAUUUCGCGGCGACCCUCACGGUGACCCCAUCCUGCGAGCCUGCCGAGGUGCCUGUUGAUGGGCAGACCAAUGGGGUUCUCGAUGCCUAGAUAAUUCGUGCAGUAGGAGAUGCACUCUUCGGUCAGAAAGCCCCUGGCUAUGCUUCCCGCUGGACAUGACAUGUUGCGAACGUAUCCUUUGAUGACACCACUCAUCCUUUCGAACGGCAUCAUGCUGUGCAGGAACGUCGGCUCGAGUUGGAUGAUAUCCCCCACGAUAUGGACCAUCAGAUGCACCAUAACGUCGAAGAAUGCGGGCGGGAAGUACAUCUCAAGCUCGCAUAGUAUCACCACGAUCUCUUCUUGUAGCCUUCUAAGUUGCCUCACGCCAACCAACUUCCGAGAGAUGACGUCGAAAAAGUUGCAUAGGCCAAAUAGCGUUUCACGGACGUGCGCGUCCACGAUCCCACGGAUUGCAACUGGAAGUAUCUGCGUCAUGAGCACGUGACAGUCGUGAGACUUCAUCCCGCUAAACUUCUGCUUCGCUGAAUCUAGGUAUCUGCUUAUCUUCCCCGCGUAACCGUAAGGAAGUUUUACUCCUACGAGGCAAGUGAAAAACUGAUCGAUCUCCUCCUAACUUAGAGUGAAGCACGCGGGAGGGAAGUCAUUUUCGGUCUUCUUGGACUUUUUGCCUUUGCGACGACUUUCCGUGUCCUGCUUCGCCUCAUCAUCAUCAUCAUCAUCAUCAUUAUUAGCGUGAAGCUCCUCCCUAAUGCCCAUUGAUUUCAAGUCUGCCCUUGCUUUCGGUCCAUCUUUGGUCCUCUCUGGCAUGUUGAGCAGGGUACCAAGCAGACUCUCGCACACGUUCUUCGUGAUAUGCAUGACAUCAAGGCUGUGAGGCACACGGAGGAUCUUCCAGUAAGGCAAGUCCCACAAAAUAGACCUCGUUUUCCAUACCUUCAGCAGCGGCUCUGGCACCUUUCGCUUCUUUCCCGGCUCUGGCGCCUUUCCCGGCGGUGGGCACUCUUUCCAAUUUUUCAACAGCUCGUAUAUUUCCUCGCCACUCCUCAUAAGGGGGCGUCUUCGGGGUUCGGUUUCACCAUCGAACGGAUCCUUGCGUUUUCUCCAUGAUUCAUCGUCGCGAAGCCACCUUCGAUGUCCCAUGAACACGGUUUUUGAAGACCCGGGAUCAAUAUCUAGCUGGCGAUACAUUGUGUCAUCCAUGCACCUGACGCAUCCAGAAAAUCCGUGGACCACCUGCCCCGCGACAUAUCCGUAACCGAGAUAGUCGUGCACCGUCGUGAGCAGUGCGGCUCUCAUAGGGAAAUAUUCUUUCUCUACGGCGUCCCACGUAUUGGCUGGCGUUUUCCACAGCGUGUCUAGCUCCUGUUUCAGCAGCCCCAGAUAUAGAUUGAUGUCGUUCCCUGGUUGUUUCGGCCCUUCAAUUAGCAUACUCAUGUGAAUGUACUUCCUCUUCAUGCACAACCAGGGGGGAAGGUUGUACAUCCACACAAACAUAGGCCAGGUGCUAUGUGUGCUUCUCUGGCUGCCAAACGGAUUGACUCCAUCGGUGCUCGCGCCCAGCACGAUGUUCCUUGGAUCGUCCCCAAAUUCUGGGUAUUCGUAGUUCAACGCUUGCCACUGGCUCGCAUCCUUAGGGUGACUCAGCAUCUUGUCUUUUUUAUUUAUCUCCGGAUCAUUUUCGUCAUCUUCUCGCUUUUUCUCCUCCCUAUCCACGUGCCAACGUAGGAGCUUUGCUACCUUAGGGUCCGCGAAAUACCAUUGCAGACGAGGAGUGAUCGGAAAGUACCACACCACUUUUCGAGGAGCUUUCUUCCUCUUCUUGUAUCGACUGACGCCGCACACCGGACAUAUGGUAGACUCCGCGUGCUCGUCCCGAUAAAUGAUGCAAUUGUUCAUGCACACAUGGUAUUUCACGUGCGGUAAAUCCAGAGGACACACGAUUUUCUUCGCCUCCUCGAAACUGGUCGGGCACUUGUUCCCCUUGGGAAGACGUUCGUGCCAGAAUGACAUGUUCUCGUCGAAGCAUGCGUCGGUCAUUUUGUGUUUUACCUUCAUCUCCAGAGCCAUGAGCGUUACUUUCAGGCAGGUAUCCUCGGGCCUGCAUCCUUCAUACAAUGGAGUAAGCGCGUCUAUCUCCAGUUGAUCCAGCUUGGCUUUCUCUCGGGCGGCAGCUCUUGCGUUAUCCGUGUGCUUGAGAAGCAGCUCUUGAAUAUGAGGGUCCUGCACCCAGGCCAUCGAUGGUCCAUCGUCGUCUGCUCCGGCAUCUUCAUCUUCAUGAUCAUGCCCUUCGUCUGCUCCGGCAUCUUCCUCAUCAUCAUGUCCGGCAUCUUCUACAUGAUGACUGUGUCCUGGAGAUUCUUCGUCUUCUCGCCCGCCCUCGCCGCGGUUGUCUUGCUCAUGCCCUUCCUCAUUUCUUUACCGACCCCCAUGGACGACUUCAUAAUCAUCUUCAUCACCUUGCCACCGAUAGCCAUCCAUGAAACCAUGCAAGAGCAGGUGGUCCUGCACCUUUACGGAAUCCGGGUCCAUAGGGCUCUUCAGCUUGCAUCUUCGACACGGACAUCUUAUCCUCGUCUCGUUCUUUUGAAGCAUCUCGGCCUUCGCGGAGCUCAAAAACCUAUUCACGAUGCCUUCGGUCAUCGUGCGGACCAUGGUCGCCUGCGGGGUAGAGCAAAACGAUAUUUUAGAACCAAAAUUUUUUUGGCAUGACUUUGCCUAAAAAUAGGACAAAAAAGAAUGCAUAGUGCCAAAUUCUCGCCGAAACGGAAAUGAAUCAACAUUCCGGGAAAAUAUUGGCAACUAUGACAUUUCAAAUACCAGUACCUGCAAAAAAAAACAUAUAUGCAACACCACAAACAUAUGCAACACCAAAAACAUACUUAGAUCUAGCUAGGCCAUAAAAAGUGCAUGUGCACGUUGUUGGAGGGAGAAAAAAAGUAGAUCUACAACAUAAAAGCUUUCCCCUUACUUACCUAUCAAAAAAGGUAAUUUAACCACUUAAUUUGGGUGAAUGUAUGAUGCAAAUGAGGUGAGGAGGAGGAGGCACCCGAGACAAGCUUGGAGGAGGAGGUGGAGAGAAUGAAAGUGGGGAAAGUGAGUGUGGUAGGUGGCUGUCCAAAAUAUCUAGCUGGUCCCAGGUUACUAAUGGCGCACCACCUACAUAUGCGCCAUUAGUAACCCUGGUUACUAAUGGCGCACCUCCUGUGGUGCGCCAUUAGUAGUUCUGCAAAAAAAAAGUAGUGGCGCACCACCAACAGAUGCGCCAUUAGUAACACUGGUUACUAAUGGCGCACUAGCUGUGGUGCGCCAUUAGUAGUUUGCAAAAAAAACAAUUUUUUUAUAGUAGUGGCGCACUACCAACAGAUGCGCCAUUAGUAACCCUAGUUACUAAUGGCGCACCAGCUGCUGGUGCGCCAUUAGUAGUUUUGCAAAAAAAAUAUAGUAGUGGCGCACCGAGUGUGUGGUGCGCCAUUAGUGUCCAUCACACUAAUGGCACACCUGCACAUGGUGCGCCACUACUAUAUAGUAGUGGCGCAUUGCUUGUGUGCUGCGCCAUUAGUAUCUAUAUCAUCUAUAGCCCUUUGCCUAGUAGUGGUGGAUUGGUCGUACCACCCGAAUACUCGUAUAUUUUUAUUGCUGAAUAUAAGCUCUUUCCACGGUGUCGCCUAGACGCCCCACUAUGUCCUGUUAUUUAUCUUAUAAGCCAUUUAUGUGGUGUCACCUCUACGCCCGACCGUGGCUUGUUGUUUAUCUCAUAAGCUCUCUUUGGGGUGUCGCCUCGACACCCGACUAAGGCUUGUUGAUUAUUUAUAAGCCCUUUAUGUGGUGAUGUCUAGAUGCCUGACUGCGGCAUGCAUGUUAAUUAUUUUAUAAGCCCUUUCUGUGGUGUCGCCCAGACACCCGACUGAGGCAUGCAAUGCUUUAUUUUAUUAUAAGCCUUUUUCGAGGUGUUGCCCCAAAGCCCGACUGUGGUAGUUUACUUUUCCUGUUAACCUUUCGAGACGUCGCUCUAGACACCUGAUCGGUGUAUUUUACUUUUUUUGGAUAUUUCGGGAGGACUACCACCCGACUUCUCCAUUUAUUAAUUUUAUUUCAUCUCAUAGUUAAAUUAUAACUCUUGUCUAGUGUGAAAUUUUAUUCAACUUGCGCAUGUGCAUCAUGUCUGCAUUCAUCAUAUCUCAUGUCGAGACUGUCUUGUGAGACAUGCAAAGUACUUACGUGGCUUGAUGAUUUGGCCAGAUUUUGACGAAGGUGAUCUCAUGGAUGAAGAGUUCGAUAGCGAGUCCGACGCCUAGAGGAAUCCUAGUCAGUCUUGCGAUCUUGGAGUCCACCAUUGUAUUAUCCGCCACCGCUUCCACCACCAAUAAUCAAUUUUCGAGCCUCACUUUGACAUCCGACAUGUUGUAGAAUAAUGAGUCGUGUCACCCACUCCAUCGUGACAUAUCCACCACCACCUAUAUUGCGAUUCAGUAGUACUACCAGCAUGUCCAUUGUUUAUAUCUGCCUCUAUGAUAAAUAUUUGCGUGCUUGUAAUAAAUUGUUGAGCGACCUUAACUCAACUCUUUCUAAUAUUAAGUGCUACUGGUUUUCUGUAUCAAGGAUUGUCUAUCAAUGUGAAUUAUUUUAUAUGUCGGAAUGACAUCAAGGGUUGAUAUCCAAUAAUUAUAUUAUUUUGAAACUGGUCCUGACAGAAAUUCAGUUGGAAUAUGAAAGCAGUCAUCAAAAGUGAGGUCCCCGGUUGCUAUGCCCACACUUUCCAUAGUACUAGUUACCUUCACAUUACCAGAGUUAAUCACUAGACGAUUAUAUCCAGUAGAUUGUGCGAGGGUCAAGUCAAAUCUAGGACGCCCCCUGAUGACCCACAAGUGUAGGGGAUCAAUUGUUGUCCUUUCGAUAAGUAAGAGUGUCGAACCCAACGAGGAGCAGAAGGCUCUGAUAAACGGAUUUCAGCAAGGUAAUAACUGCAAGCACUGAAAGUAGCGGUAACAAGUAAUUGUGUAGCGAGGUGAAACGUAGCGAGCAAAAAGUAACAAGUAACAAGUAGUAGCAAUGGUACGGCAAGUGGCCCAAUCCCUUUUGUAGCAAGGGACAAGCCUGAACAAAGUCUUAUAGGAGGAAACACGCUCCCGAGGAUACACGUGAAUUUCUGUCAUGCUAGUUUCAUCAUGUUCAUAUGAUUCGCGUUUGUUACUUUGAUAGUUUGAUAUGUGGGUGGACCGGGACUUGGGUACUGCCCUUACUUGGACAAGCAUCCCACUUAUGAUUAACUCUCUCACAAGCAUCCGCAACUACAAAAGAAGAAUUAAGACAAAGUCUAACCAUAACAUUAAACUAGUGGAUCCAAAUCAGCCCCUCACGAAGCAACGCAUAGACUGGGGUUUAAGCUUCUGUCACUCCAGCAACCCAUCAUCUACUUACUACUUCCCAAUGCUUUCCUCUAGGCCCAAAUAUGGUGAAGUGUUAUGUAGUCGACGUUCACAUAACACCACUAGAGGAAAAGACAACAUACAACAUAUCAAAAUACUGAACGAAUAUCAAAUUCACAUGACUAUUAUCAGCAUGACUUAUCCCAUGUCCUCAGGAACAAAAGUAACUACUCACAAAGCAUAAUCAUAAUCAUGAUCAGAGGUGUAAUGAAUAGCAUCAAGGAUCUGAACAUAAACUCUUCCACCAAGUAAUCCAACUAGCAUCAACUACAAAGAGUAAUCAACACUACUAGCAACCUUACAAGUACCGAUCGGAGUUGCGAGACGAAGAUUGGUUACAAGAGAUGAACUAGGGAUUGGAGAGGAGAUGGUGCUGAUGAAGAUGUUGAUGAAGAUGCCUGCCCUCCGACGAGAGGAGUGUUGGUGAUGACGAUGGCGACGAUUGCCCCCUCCGGGAGGGAAGUUUCCCGGGCAGGAUCGUCCUGCCGGAGCUCUAAAUUGGAUCUGCUCAAGUUCCGCCUCGUGGCGGCGGCGAAACCACGAAAAAGCGACCGUAUGAUUUUUUCUGGACCAAGACCCUUCAUAUAGCAAAAGAGGGGGGCUAGUGGGCCGUCAGGGAGCCCACAAGCCACCACUCCGCCACCAGGGGGGUGGUGGCGGUGGCAGGGCUUGUGGCGCCCUCGCAGCCCCCGUCCGGUACUUCUUUCACCCAGUAUUUUUUAUAUAAUCCCAAAAAAAUCCACGUAACUUUUCAGGGCAUUUGGAGAUGUGCAGAAUAGUGGACUAGGAUUUGCUCCUUUUCCAGUCCAGAAUUCCAGCUGCCUGAAUUCUCUCUCUUCAAAUAAACCUUGCAAAAUAAGAGAGAAAAGGCAUAAAUAUGGUACCACAAGUAAUAUAACAGCCCAAAAAGCAAUAAAUAUCAACAUGAAAGCAUGAUGCAAAAUGGACGUAUCAACUCCCCCAAGCUUAGACCUCGCUUGUCCUCAAGCGAAAACCAAGUUCCAUAAACAUGUCCACAUGUUGAGGGACGAAGGUGUCGAUAAAACAUAAUACGGAUAUGAGGGCAUCAUGAUCACACAUAGGACAAGAAUACAUCAUAAAGAUUCUUAUGGGAAAGUAACAAUUCCUUCACAAAGCAAAGCAUGAAGCAAAAACCUUACCGAGAAGUAACCAACAAUAAACCAUAGUCAUUGAAGCAAUUGCAAUUUAUCACAACAUAAAAAAAAGUCAAAUGAGAGCUUGUAAAGCAAAUCCACAUACUCAAUCAUCUCUUUUGUUUUCCACAAUUCUUACAACUCACGUGGUACUCAUGGUGUCAAAGUUUCAGCUGGACAUAGAGAAAGAUAGGGGCUUAUAGUUUGCCUCCCAACUAUUUACCUCAAGGGUAAAGUCAACAAUAAUAAAGCAUAAGUACUCAACUCCAAGUUGAUAUAUGAAUAUAGAUCUUUCCCAAGCAUGUGACGGUAGUCAAGACAAAGGCAAAAAUAGGGAAUUGGUGAAGAUCACCAUGACUCUUACAAGGGAAAAAAGUAAAGGUACAAGAUAAGCCCUUCGCACAGGGAAGCAGAGGUUGUCAUGCACUUUUGAGGUUUGAAUGCGUGUCCUCUUAGUGCGGAGGAACGUCACUUUAUAUUGCCUCCUGUGAUAAAGAGCUUUAUUAUACAGUCUGUCGCUUUUAUGUCUUCCUUAUCACAGGUUCGUACAAAGCUUAUUUUCCACACACUAAUAGAUCAUACAUAUUAGAGAGCAAUUUUUAUUGCUUGCACCAAUGACAACUUACUUGAAGGAUCUUAUUCAAUCCAUAGGUAGGUAUGGUGGACUCUGAUGGCAAAACUGGGUUGGAGGUUUAUGGAUGCACAAGCAGUAUCUCUACUUGGGGCGGGAGUUUUGGCUAAUAUGAGGUGGAAGCAAUCGUCACAUGCUAAGGGAUCUCUAAUCAUAUAACAUUGUUUGGAACCAAGAAAAGACAAUUCAUUACGUUGUCUUCCUUGUCCAACAUCAACUCCUAAGCAUGUAAUAGUUUGGUGAGUGCUC
Molecule: long non-coding RNA, 18698 nt
Filed under: Hordeum vulgare
Lineage: Eukaryota; Viridiplantae; Streptophyta; Magnoliopsida; Poales; Poaceae
Description: long non-coding RNA (HVUL_LNC001650)
Source: RNAcentral